UUAUGUACUUUAAUUAAUUUUAAAGUGC
Molecule: unclassified non-coding RNA, 28 nt
Filed under: Drosophila lini
Lineage: Eukaryota; Metazoa; Arthropoda; Insecta; Diptera; Drosophilidae
Source: RNAcentral